This is a long non-coding RNA of Gordionus sp. m RMFG-2023, 569 nucleotides long. RefSeq lists it as uncharacterized. The record is from RefSeq and is a predicted model, not a curated record. The transcript is spliced from 3 exons. Lineage: Eukaryota; Metazoa; Nematomorpha; Gordioida; Chordodea; Parachordodidae.
CAUGAUGAAUCUAUUAUUAAAGAUAAGCUAACAAAAAAAUGGCGAUUCAACAAAAGCCUUACCCGUUCUAGAGUUACUGGUGGCCAAGAUAAUGAAGAACUGUGAACUGAGUUGCCUCCAAAUGUAUUUCUAUCACCACUACCACAAUCCCUAUGCCACCUCUGCCUAAUUUUUAACAAAUAUAAGCAUUUAAUUUCACUAUUAUUCACCUCACUAGGAGUUAAUAUAAAAAGGAUGUUCAAACGUGAAUGUGUAGUGCGGCCAAUUUCAUUAACAUUAUUAAUGGGAAAAUAUGCGGUAGUUUUAUCAUGGCCUUUAUAACAAUACUUACGACCGUUUUAUGGUUGAGUUGACAAUGUCGUUCAUGAUUCUAUUUUAAAACUGACACUUUGGCAGAAAUAUCAUUAUGCGUUCUUCUUUUACCAGUAGCCCAAGGCCUCAGCUUUAUCAGGACGAAUGGGUGUUGUACACCGCCGGUAAUCCGUCAUUAUUCAUUACUUUCACCUACAACCCUAAAAGGGAUAUUAUACAUUAAUUAUUUCCUCUGCAGACGACUUCCCAGAUUUAUU